AAGCAAAUCCACAACAAGAAUAAUAUUUAAUUAUUAGAAGAAACUUUCUUUUUGGUUACAAGGUUUUAUUUUCAUUUUAUUUUUUGUUUCUUGCUAUAUAUGGGGUUAUGCUAUUUUUAGAUGAUUUUGUUUUGUUAAACUCAAAGAGAAGAUGUUAAUUAUGUUAUGUGCUUGUUAAUUAAUUUUCUCUGUUUGAAUAGAUCAUCGUCAUCGUCAUCGUCAUCAUCGUUUUCAUAUCACAUCAUCUCUAUACUUUAUUUAAUUAAUGUUGAUAAAUAUAUUUCUGUAGUCUCUUUGAUUGUUGGUCCCAUGAACAAGAAUUUAUUGCUCUUAAUCAUAUACAUGAAAUUAUGAGCUUAUUUUCUUUCUCUUCUUGUUGAGACCAUGAGCAACCGUAUACAGUACCCAGCAGUUUCCGUUCUCAUUGACAAAAGCAAACUUUAAUACAUUUCAAGAACAGCUACGCAUGCUGCUGCUGGAUGCCUUUUUUUUUGUCAAAAAAAGUGGCAUAAUCCAGGUAUUUUCCAAAUACAUAGGGUUGGCAACCGCUCAGGUUUCUUCAGGUAUUUGACUCCAUGGCAAUCAAAUUCGUUUACGUAGUUGAUAAAUGGAUCUUAAAUCGAUUCGGUUCUAUUUUUAUUAUUCAUGUUGAGACUUGAGUUAUCUAUUUAAUGAGUACUUUACCAUUAUUAUA
Molecule: non-coding RNA, 694 nt
Organism: Jatropha curcas
Lineage: Eukaryota; Viridiplantae; Streptophyta; Magnoliopsida; Malpighiales; Euphorbiaceae
Source: RefSeq, a predicted model, not a curated record